This 1536-nucleotide long non-coding RNA is filed under the name Podarcis muralis (Common wall lizard). RNAcentral's name for it is "lncRNA (ENSPMRG00000002437.1)". The record is from RNAcentral. Lineage: Eukaryota; Metazoa; Chordata; Lepidosauria; Squamata; Lacertidae.
AUGGGCCCAGAUUCAGUAUCAGUGCGGGAGGGCGCAAGAGACCAGGCUGGGCGUAGCAAAAGGACCUUUUAUUCGAGGGCUUCCCUUCAGCGGGGCUCAGCCGAAGAUGCAGACGGUGCCCGAGGCCAGGCGGUGGCGGUACUCGUGGCGGAGGCUGGCGGCCUGCGGGAAGCUGCUCCUCAUCUCCAGCUUGCCGGGCACCACCAGGAGGGUGACUCCGGGCCCCAGGCCCUCGGCCAGCUUCUGCAGCAGGCGGCGGGCCAGGUAGCCGGCGGCUCGCGUCGGCUCGGCCUCCAGGCUGGCGUAGACCUCCGGGGGCGGGUUGGGCAGCUUCCACUCCAGCUCGCCGAUCAGCUGGUGGGUGCGGGCGCGGUCGAGGGCGCCGGGGCUCUCCCCAUAGCAGGCCACCACGUGCAGCCCCCCCGGGGCGCGGGCGGCCACGAAGCUGCCCUGCGCCAGCACCUCCUCCUCGCCGCCACCGCCGCCCUCCUGCCAGGCCAUCACCGCCCAGCGCAGCCAGUCGUAGUUCUCCUCCAGCUUGCGCAGGACGCUGGAUGCCAGCUGGGCCGGCCCGGGGGGCACCGCGGGCACCUCGGCCAGCGCCCGCUCGACGUCCUGGCGCGCCUGCUCGGGGAAGUAGCGGGCGCAGGCGGCCAGCGCCUCCUUCAUGCGCCGGUGCGCGGCGCCCACGCGCUCCUCCCAGACGGCCAGCAGCAGCGCCGGGUCGCGCUGGGUGAGGCCCGCCUGGCACAGCAGGCACAGCAGCCCGGCGCCCAGCAGCGCGUUCAGCUUCUGGCACACGCCCGCCAUCUGGGGCCUCCGCGGCCGGUGCGCCUCGACGGCGCGCUCCAGCACCGGGCGCUGCGCCGCCGCCACCCCGCAGCCCUGCACGCGCCGCCAGGCGGCCAGCAGGCGCCGCUCCAGCUUCUCGCGCGCGCACGCGGCCACGAAGAGCUCGGCCUCGCGCGCCGCCGACGCUGUGCCGGAGGCGCGCGCCGCCAGAGCCAGCUGCUCGAAGGCGACCGACACGCCGUCCUCGCAGGCGCCCAGCUCGCCCGCGCCGUCCAGCGCCAGCCCCGGCCCGGCGGCCAGGUCGCGCUCCAGCAACGCCAGCUCGCGGCGGACGAAGGCCGCCUCCUCCGGGGUCGCCGAGCCCCGCAGCAGCGAGGCCGCGCCCAGCGCCAGGGAGCGCAGCGACUGCAGGAAGCCGGUGGGCUCCAGGCACUGCGAGAAGAGCGCCAUCCGCAGGCGGGGACGGGAGCCUGCAGAGGGAGAGAGAGAGAGAGAGAGACGGGGGUCAGGGAGGCCGGCAAGAAGGGGAGCCCUCUCUUAAGACCCCGGCUGCUGGAUCGGGGCCAUGUGGUCGAGCAGCCUAUCACUGAAAGGGACCUGGGGUCAUCUAGAGCCCCCCGCCCCCAGUUGCCUGCCAGAUGCCCCUUACGGGAGCCUCUUCCCCUCUUGCGAUUCCCAGCCACGGGGAGGCAGAGUCGAGUCACCAGGGCUAGGAGCCAUCCAAUAGCUCUCUCCCAUCAUUGA